AAUACUGGAGUGAGUAGCCUAUCCCUUCUCCAGGGGAUCUUCCCAACCCAGGGAUCAAACCCGGGUCUCCUGCGCUGCAGGCAGAUCCUGUACCAGCUGAGCUACCAGGGAAGCCCCAGUGAUGCCUUAUUUAAUUAUCAUGACAGCCACAUAGGUAGAGUUUACAGAUGAGGAAUAUAGAAUUUAGACGAGCUUAUAGUAGCAGCUGCAGUGUUUGUGAAAGAUAUUGCAAAUUGAACUAAAGCUAUGAUGUGUGGGUGAAGACUAGACAGAUGAACUUUGAGAAGUUAAAAUUGAAGAAUUGAUGGAGUUGAUAACUGACUGGAGAAAGAUCAUGACAGGAGAAUCUGGGUAAUUUUGGUUUAGGUAGUGGAGUAGGUGGAUUUUUGGCCGAGAAGGGCAUACUGGAGAAUUAGGUGGGAAGAUUGAAUGGGGAAGGAUGAAUUUGGUUCUGCUCACAGUUUGAAGGUGGUUACUGAAUCUCCAAGUGGAGAUAUCUAUUUGGUGUAUAUAACUGAACAUGUAGACCUACAGUUUGGGAAAAGUUUGAACUAAACUAAUUUAUUUAGUUAUUUGAAGAUUUAGAGGAGAUCUCCACCCUGGGGUUUAUAAAAUUAGAGGGGAGAAGAGACUGUUGAAGAAAUUGUGAAAAUGCUCAUGCAAGGGAAGAACCAGAAGAAAGUGGUAGAAACCGAGACUCAAAAGAACCGUCGACAUUGUCACACCACAGCUGAAGACUGAAGAGCGACUACAGAAACAGAAUCAUGGUCUCUGUGGAGUUGUGGAGGUACCAGUGGAUACAGGAAGCCAGGGUUUCAUUGUUUUAUCAAUAUUCUCUUAGACCCAGAGGGAGCUUAUGAGCCAGCUGCCAUGACUGAAGACAGACCUGAGGAAUGUGUGUUCUCUGGGUAUUGUUCAGCUCUACGUAGUUGGAGACAGAGGUACCGCAGUCGGUUUCACAGCUGUCAGUCUUUCCAAGGCAGCUCCAGUGGAGUCCGUAGUGGGACACUGGCAGUUUCCUACUUGCUCCUGAAUCUGUCAGCAUACUUAAAAUAGUCACUGCCCCUCCUGAGGUAACAGCCAGGGACCUCUGACCCUGAAGAAUGUUUUUACGGUUCUGUAUCAAAGGCUGUUAUUUUAGCACUGUCAAUAUAAUAGAACUGAAAGGCAUUUCCCCCCCCCGGAAAAAUGUUAAUUCUCCAAAGUUGGUGAAAUUAGAAUUUAGAAAUAAAAUGGAGAGUAACCUUAGGUUAUACUACACAAUUCUACUGUCCCAAAGUCUGCUGCUUGGGACAUGGAAAUGAAUAUAGUUGCCAUCUAUAAAAUGAAAGAUUGGGGAUGUACCAUGGAUAUUUCUGACAUCUCUUUAAUCAUUUCUAGAUCUGUUAUUCAUAAUUAUGUGGCACUCUGCAAGUGGGCAUGGUGUGUAGAUACUUUAUAUGUGUGUAUCACUUUGGAUAAGCUAUAGAUUUUCAGUCCACAAAUACUUACUCAGCACUUUCUUGCACUGUUAAGCCAGAAUAGUAGAAUCUUAAGAGUUAUCCAACCUAUGGCAUGUGGACUUGUGGCCUUUCUUGGACAUUGUCAGAGCCAGUUCAUUCCAUUUUUGAACAUACCAGAAAAUGUAAAGAAAACACACUUUCUUUUUAGGGGGGUGGGGGAGAAUUUAAUACAUUCACCAAAUUAAAUGAAAGGACAAGAACGUACUGUCGACGCAACUUAAGACAAUUUAGAAUCAUAAACAAAAUGUGAGGUAGACUGACUAGUGAAAUUAACCAAAUUUUGGUUAAGAAACUUUACAGUAAUAAAGUAACACAGGUGCCUCCUUUUCUAAAAAUCACAAGAAGCAAUUGCAUAAAUUACAGCCCAAAAAACUGAAUAUAGCAAUUCUCAUUGGAGGUUUACAUUCAGUAUUAACCUGUGUGAACCCUCACAUAUCGCAGGGUUUAACAGGUCUAUAGGUCAGUUAUUCUGCAGGCCAAGUGAACACAUUUCACACCACAAUAUUCUAAGGGCUGGCGAGGCUCAAAGUGGAACACACCAGGGGUUGUAUUAACCAAAUCAUGGUGUUCUGUGCUUGUGCAAUUUUAUCCUUAAAGGAGAAUGACCUAACAUUCUCUAAAGAAUUAUACUGAUAAGGUGAUUUUAAAAGAUCCAAGCCUUAGUAAGACAGACACUGAAAAGAAUAGGCAGGUCAGUUUAAAAUCUCCAUCAUCAGGGUGAUGAUCUUUUGGCUUUAUUCUGGCAUUCCUCUUCCACAGAGUUAAACAGCAUUUAAGAGAUCAUAAUCAUCUGAUUUUUUCAGAGUAUAAUCCUAACAAAUAUGGAGUCUCCACAGCUCAAAUAAGGACUUAAAAAUUUUUUCCUUAGACUGAAGCCAUAAAGCCAGAAGAAACCCUGAGAGGCCAUCUGCCCCAGGAACAGCUGUUUCAGGAUUAUUUCAAGUAUUUUAUUUGCCCUAUAUAGUAAAUUUUGGAAUAUUGCACAAACAGUGGGUUUCAUCAUCUGCAGUAGGCCCUUCAAUAAAACAAGUGAAAUACAUUCAUAUCUAAAUCAGCCUGCUUCAGAACGUACCUCUUUGCCAAAAGUUCUGCUGUACUAAAAUUAACAAGUAUUUUUAAAGCAUAUAUAAGGCAGGUCCUCUUUAAAGAUCAAUUAAAAAUGGAAUUUUUAAAAGGAAUUGUUCAUUUUAAGAUACAUAUAAAACAAAAAUAGCUAUUAAAACCGAGAGAUCUGAAAUCAUUUUCAGAUUAGUACAUUCCAUCUUUUCACUCUCUGUAAACUCUGUAUCACAAACUAGUAAAGCUGGUCAGGUAACACUAUUUGUUCUGAGUGAAUGCAGACUUAGCAGGCCCCUCUCAGUAGUUUCAGGCCAUAAACAAGACAUCUAUUCAAGUAAAAAUGGCUAUGUAAAGUGGAGAUAAAGUGAAAGUGAUAUAUGGGCUAAUAAGAAAAAUGUCAAGCCAUCAAUGAGAACUGAAGUAAUUCGGAAGAAUUAACUUCCAAUAAACUUAGUAUGUUCUAGAACAUUUUCUAGAAAUCCGUUUUUGAUUAAAAUAUGUGGUAAAAAAAAAAAGUCUGUAUAAAUUUAUGCCUCCUACUGUUGAUACUGAACAAAGAUCCCCUGCUGAUUUUUGAGUCAAAAAGACUUAAAUGGAAUUCUUUUUUACUGCACACGCACACACGCACGCCCACUCACCCACUCACUGGUAGAAUUAAGUAAAACAGCCUCUCUCUCUCUAUGGCUCUGUUUCCCAUUUCAGCAGUUUCUGUGGUAUUGUCAGUAUAAGGCAGCUCAUUCAGUGUAUCUUUGAAAGGAAACUCUGCUCUAGUCUUUGAAAGGAAACAAACUAGUUCCACUCCACAUAGAAGCUUAGCCUGCGUGACAUUUAGCUUUGCUGGUGCCAACUGCUUAAUUCCAACCCAAUGGAGUGGGUGUGGGGUGACUGCUGAAACCUUCUUAAUUGGCUCAACUUUUGAAUCAGGUUUUCCUUGUACAAUAUUAAUCACUGUUCAUAUUCUCACAGGCAUGAUGUGCUUAAGAGACUGGAAACAUUUUUAAAGAAUGGAUAAAGCAAAAGAACCGAAGCCAGGAGAAGCUGCAUAAAUACACACAACGCCUGCUCUGCAUUUACUAAUGUGUUUGUUCAGUUUAAAUAGUAAACUUUCAACUCCUGUGGAAAUUUUGCCAAAAGUUUCAAUACAUACAAGAUUAUAAAUCAUAAACUAACACUGCACAGAGAAAGACAAGGCUACUUUUUUUUUUAAAUACAAAUAUCUUCUACAUUCUAUCAUUUCAGACCCCUGAGUAAUACUGUACCAAAGUA
Molecule: long non-coding RNA, 3827 nt
Organism: Cervus elaphus (red deer)
Lineage: Eukaryota; Metazoa; Chordata; Mammalia; Artiodactyla; Cervidae
Exons: 2
Source: RefSeq, a predicted model, not a curated record